ACAUCUCACCUCCUCAAGUACGAUGCGUCACUAGCCAUUAAGCAAUCCCCCCUCAUCCCCCCCUCUUUUCUCUAAUUUUGCCAAAAAAGAAAGUGUCAACUACCCGAAAAUUCACCCAUUUGAAACUACAAUCAUGUCAUCAAAUGUCCUGACUCCUUUUAUUUUUUGAAACACGUCAAGUAAAGUACACAAAAACCUUAGAAAGCCAAAAGAAAAUGGGUCACCGUUCUUAGAAUGACCCUGCUGCUAUUGUCAAGCUUGAACAUGGUCCUACUCAGGGAUUCUCAUCUCUCUGAUUUGCGCCUAUGCUCAUCUCUCUCUCUAUGACGACUGGAGGAAGAAUCCCUAACAUGGGCAGACGAUUUGGCUCCUCUCUUAUCUUGGUCUUCCCUAAGAUAGGAUUCUGAUUCGUGCCUCUUAAAUCUCUUUUCCUCCCUCCGAUCAUCAUUGUCUCUUGACCUUGGCUCCAAUCCAUCACCAUUAUUAUGCCUUCUCAAUCCCCUUUCAUCCCUCUUAUAAUCUUCUCCUCUUUGAACGUCUUCAUGCCUUCUCAACCUCUUUUCAUCGCUCCUAUGAUAAUCAUCUCUAGACUUUGGCUCAAAUUCCUCAUCUCCAUGCCUUCUCGAUCUCUUUUCAUCUCUCCUAUCAUAGUCUUCGCUUGAUUUUGGCUCAAAUUCAUUGUCUUCUUGUCUUCUCCAUCUCUUUCCAUCUCUUCUAUGAUAAUCUUCUUUUGACUUCCGCUCCAUUUCAUUUUCAUCAUGCCUUCUUGAACUCUUGUCCUCCCUCCUAUCACUCUGUUUAGGGAGGCUCUCUGAAGGUCUCUCAUUGCCAGAUCUUUUCUCACUCUUUUUUGGAGCAUCAAACUUGUCAUGUCCCCAUCUUGGACUUUUAUCCUCAGGACCCCAUCCUGUGUUUGCAGCUCUUUGCUCAUCAUGGGAAAAUUUGCAGCUAGCUCCACGAGUGCAUUCACCUCUUUGGAAAGCACGGCAUACUCCUCGAGCCUCUCUCUUCUGCUGUUGUGUCUCUUCAUCCUCCUCCUCUUUCUUCUUGUACUUAGUAACAUGAUCAACCCUUACAAUUCGACCAGCAACCUCUGCGCCAUUCAGAUUAUCUACAGCAAGAGAUUUGUACUUCUUUGAUCCUCAUAUGCAAUAAAUGCAAAACCUUUUGAUUUACCAGUAUCCUUGUCUCUAACUAGAUUAACAUCAACAAUCUCCCCAUAUUGAGCAAAAACAGCAAGGAGAUCGCCUUCGGUGAGAUCGAAAGGAAUACCGCCAACAAAAACAUAAGCUGAAUCUUUGUAUUUGGCGUGCCAGGAAGCAUCCUCUGAAAUCCCUAACUCUGCUUCUUUCGAGUUUAUGUUCUGAAUUCGUUUCACCAGCGUCAAUGGAUUCAUC
Molecule: unclassified non-coding RNA, 1397 nt
Filed under: Hevea brasiliensis (rubber tree)
Lineage: Eukaryota; Viridiplantae; Streptophyta; Magnoliopsida; Malpighiales; Euphorbiaceae
Source: RNAcentral